This 372-nucleotide ribosomal RNA is filed under the name uncultured organism. RNAcentral describes it as "bacterial SSU rRNA". It matches the Rfam family "Bacterial small subunit ribosomal RNA", at positions 526 to 896 of the family's 1533-position model. The record is from RNAcentral.
CAGAGGUCCCGAGCGUUGUUCGGAUUCAUUGGGCGUAAAGGGUGCGUAGGCGGCGGGGCAAGUCUGAUGUGAAAUCCUGGGGCUCAACCCUGGAACUGCAUUGGAUACUGCCUUGCUAGAGUACUGGAGAGGAAACUGGAAUUUACGGUGUAGCAGUGAAAUGCGUAGAUAUCGUAAGGAAGACCAGUGGCGAAGGCGAGUUUCUGGACAGUUACUGACGCUGAGGCACGAAGGCCAGGGGAGCAAACGGGAUUAGAUACCCCGGUAGUCCUGGCAGUAAACGGUGCGCGUUUGGUGUAGGAGGAAUCGACCCCUUCUGUGCCGGAGCUAACGCGUUAAACGCGCCGCCUGGGGAGUACGGUCGCAAGAUUA